Molecule: ribosomal RNA, 557 nt
Filed under: Hanseniaspora opuntiae
Lineage: Eukaryota; Fungi; Ascomycota; Saccharomycetes; Saccharomycodales; Saccharomycodaceae
Description: eukaryotic LSU rRNA
Rfam family: Eukaryotic large subunit ribosomal RNA
Source: RNAcentral
ACGGCGAGUGAAGCGGUAAAAGCUCAAAUUUGAAAUCUGGUACUUUCAGUGCCCGAGUUGUAAUUUGUAGAAUUUGUCUUUGAUUAGGUCCUUGUCUAUGUUCCUUGGAACAGGACGUCAUAGAGGGUGAGAAUCCCGUUUGGCGAGGAUACCUUUUCUCUGUAAGACUUUUUCGAAGAGUCGAGUUGUUUGGGAAUGCAGCUCAAAGUGGGUGGUAAAUUCCAUCUAAAGCUAAAUAUUGGCGAGAGACCGAUAGCGAACAAGUACAGUGAUGGAAAGAUGAAAAGAACUUUGAAAAGAGAGUGAAAAAGUACGUGAAAUUGUUGAAAGGGAAGGGCAUUUGAUCAGACAUGGUGUUUUUUGCAUGCACUCGCCUCUCGUGGGCUUGGGCCUCUCAAAAAUUUCACUGGGCCAACAUCAAUUCUGGCAGUAGGAUAAAUCAUUAAGAAUGUAGCUACCUCGGUAGUGUUAUAGCUUAUUGGAAUACUGCUAGCUGGGAUUGAGGACUGCGCUUCGGCAAGGAUGUUGGCAUAAUGGUUAAAUGCCGCCCGUCUUGA